AUUCAUCCAACGAGUCCCAAAUAAGACGAAAGACGCGUCCUGGAU
Molecule: non-coding RNA, 45 nt
Filed under: Schistosoma margrebowiei
Lineage: Eukaryota; Metazoa; Platyhelminthes; Trematoda; Strigeidida; Schistosomatidae
Source: RNAcentral